RNAcentral lists this unclassified non-coding RNA (348 nucleotides) under soil metagenome. RNAcentral describes it as "partial contains 5.8S ribosomal RNA, internal transcribed spacer 2, and large subunit ribosomal RNA". The stretch from base 1 to 120 matches the Rfam family "5.8S ribosomal RNA", at positions 35 to 154 of the family's 154-position model. The record is from RNAcentral.
GAUGAAGAACGCAACGAAAUGCGAUAAGUAAUGUGAAUUGCAGAAUUCAGUGAAUCAUCGAAUCUUUGAACGCACAUUGCGCCCGCCAGUAUUCUGGCGGGCAUGCCUGUCUGAGCGUCAUUUCAACCCUCAUGCCCCUAGGGCGUGGUGUUGGGGAUCGGCCAAAGCCCGCGAGGGACGGCCGGCCCCUAAAUCUAGUGGCGGACCCGUCGUGGCCUCCUCUGCGAAGUAGUGAUAUUCCGCAUCGGAGAGCGAUGAGCCCCUGCCGUUAAACCCCCAACUUUCCAAGGUUGACCUCAGAUCAGGUAGGAAUACCCGCUGAACUUAAGCAUAUCAAUAAGCGGAGGA